Long non-coding RNA from Micropterus salmoides (largemouth bass), 4784 nucleotides. RefSeq lists it as uncharacterized. The record is from RefSeq and is a predicted model, not a curated record. Lineage: Eukaryota; Metazoa; Chordata; Actinopteri; Centrarchiformes; Centrarchidae. The transcript is spliced from 2 exons.
UAUGGAGUUUAGGCAGAUGUGUGCAGACCCAGUAGUCACUCUGUAUGCAAGCAUUAGUGACUUGAAUUUGAUUGUGAGGCCACGGGUAGCCAGUGGAGGUCACUGAGUAAUGGAGUGACAUGAGUUAUUUUGGUCUGAUCACAAACCAGACACGCUCCUUUGUUCUGCCCCAUUUGUAGGAGUUUCACCAUACAAGCUAGAAGACCUGCUAGGAGGGCAUUGCAGUAGUCGAGGCGAGGGAUAACUAUGGCCUGUAUCAGAAGCUGGGUGGCGUACUGAGUAAGGUUCACUUACCCUCGUCCUCCGUCAAGCCAGCUGGGCUCGCCCUCCUGCCCUCUCCCCUCAGACUUCCCCCACGGCGUCCUUCCGGCUCUCCCUCGUGCCUCACCAGUCAGCCUGCCACCACACUCCUGCACCAACCCCCCCGGUCAGUUCUCCUGUGCCUCAUCUCUUCCUCUGUCCCCACUGCCCCCCUCGGCUCCCUAGUCACAACCUCCUCUGCCCUUCUUGCUCCUCAGUGCCCCGUGCCCGUGUUCCCCGGCGGCCACCUCUCCCUCACCUCCGCUACCUUAACCCCUCCCUUUCCGUCAAUAAAAUCUGUUUCCACCUGAGCGUUGCUUUUGGGUCCUCCUAACAGUUCCCCCUUUGGUGAUAAUAUAUCAUGUCAGUAUAAUAUUAAUAUAUUUGUAGGUCACACUUUAUUGGGAUAGUCUGCCUACAGAUAUUUAAACAGUUUAUCAUUUGAGAUUCAAUGUAACCGUUUAACAAAUAUAGCAGUGUUCUGAUAUUACACCACUAUGGUUUUAAGGUGUGAUUAGGGCUAAUUGUAGUAUAUUCAUUAUAAUUUCAGAAAAUAGUAGACUACAAAUAUAGCUUACCACUUGUAGGCUACAAUAUAAAUUCCAGUUGGACAAAACAGCCAUCGUAAUAAUUUGUCAUAACAUGCAGAACAACGAGUUCAACAUGUUAAAAGUUUGCUGAUUGGAGCGUCACUUUGCGUUGCCAACUUCAGGGCCAGUGGGCCACCUUCCUUAGCCUAAACUUGUUUACUAAUAAUGAAAAAGUUGGCAGAAGGUUGAGAGACACAGGCCCACCCCCUUCUCCCCUAGCCUGUUGGUCUAUUCCAUAUGAAGGUCUAUGCAGCCCUUAGCACUGCCCCGUCCAUCUCACUCACACACCACAGUGACACUGACAGCUGGAAAAUGAGCUACAGUAAAUAUUGAGCUAGUACAAGUAUUGAACUACAAGAAACAAGACAGUUGCAAGCCUUUAAUUAGAGUUACGUAAAGCUGUUGAUGGUGAGGGAACUCGCUCAAACAUUUCUGCGCUGAAACAGGCUGGGGGGGCAGAUACCGAUGCUGGAUUGGGGGGCUGUGUUUGCACAUAAUGGGCCAUCGUCGUGUCAUCCUAACAGGUCUGCCAGACCCUGCUAUAGCCCAAACAUACAAACCUAAACUUAACCCACUAAAACUGUUAAACCCAUGGAAGAAAAAACUAAAGUUUAUUUGGAAUCUGGAGUUUUCAGGCAGACACAAGAUGAACAACAAGACAAACACAGAAGAUCAACAGAAGGCACAGUCCCAAAGUAUUUGAAGAAGCGGACACCACACAAUUAUUUAUUUAUCAGUUGUAAACAGUUGUUAUCACUACUGCUGAUGAUUGAUACAGUGGGUAGCCCAUUUGACAUUUUAAUGUGUUUUUGACAUGCAGGACCAAGUCCAAAAAAGUUUUAUACAUCAAAAAGUUUGUUUUCCACUAAAUAUAUAUACAAUCUAUAGAUGACUCAUUUAAUCUGUUUUAAACUUCAGUAUUGCUGUGUGUGGUUCAGAAACCUUUCCAAUGAGAACAGACUUGAUAUUCUUGUUAAAUUGGCCAGCAAGAUCUCAGCAAGGAGUCAGACCAAGCUUUCAGACCUUUAUAACAGGCAGGUCCUUAGGAUGGCUAAUGCUACAUUGGACUGCUAGAAUUGUCCACUCCAGAGCGAGUUUGAGCUAUAACCCUCAGGCCACCAUUUCAGCACUACUGUCUGCAGUACUAAAAUACUCUAUGUUUCUUUCAUCCCCAUCUGGCAGAUAGCUCUGGGGUACAUUGUGUUGUAUUUUGCACUCUGAAAAUUUUGAACAUUGAAAUUGGUUUGAACUUUCUGUGACUUCUUGUGUGGAUGUUGUUGUUGAUGUUGACCUUUUGCAUUUUGUCUUUCAUUUGAAGCCUGGCUGCAUAACAGUUUUUCCCCAGUGGUAUAAGAAAGAUAAACUUUUCAUAAUGUCAAACUCAAAACAGGACAGCAAACACAGGGAAGUUGAAAAAACAAAUUAACACACACAAGGGAUGAGGAGGAGAUACUGCAGUACCACAAUAAAACUAAAACUGAACUAAGAUAUCUAGAAAAAUAUCCGUCUACUGAAACAUCACGCCACAAGCCCUGAUGUCCAUACCAACAAUAAAUGCCAUUCAUAAACCAGUUUUACAGCCACAUCAGCCUUCCUCUGUAUAACCUUACAACACUCAUCCAGAUAUAAAACUCAAAUAAAAAGAGCUGUGGACACUGCGUCGGGUGCAACAAACCUGGCCAUAUAACUUUCUUCCAUGUUUAUACUCUACAGACCUUUUCCCAUUUGACUGUUUCACUGCCAUUUCUCCUUCUUCUCAGUGCCCGGAGUCCAGAAAGUUUGAAUGUGCCGGUGUAUAGAGGUCUUUUCUCCCAUCACUCCUGUGCACAAGCACAAACGCCACCUUUUGCAGAUUGGCUGGAACAAUAUUGUGGGGAACAUCCAUACCACUUUCUUUGUUUUUCAUUUACAAAGCGAGGGCUAUGUAGGAAAAUCUAAAAAAAUGUUUUUACAGCACACACAAAACGGAAAUUAGUGUGUUUUGGAUUACAAUCCCUUUAAAUCAGUGACCAAUUAAGGUAGAUGGAACCAUUUUUAAGGGGGUACAAGAAUGCUAAAAAUACCCUUAUUGACUUCAUCCAUAAUUUUGGUGCUUAUUUUUGCAUUGUUUGCAGCUACUGUAGCUACAUUCAGCCAGUGAAGCUCUGUGGAAAUCUGCUCUCCUGCAGCCGAAUACGAAUCUUCUCCUCUGCUGAAGCUUCUGAUUUAACAUUCCUGAGCUGACUUUCCCCCCAAAUAACGAGUAACUUUGGGUAGAAAAUAUAUUAGUUUCCAUCACAUUAUUUGUGUUUACCCAUAUUUGGGUUAAUUCUUACUAACAAUAGUGAACAUGCAGUGUGCUUAGGUUUAGGCAACACAAAUGUCAGCAACAAAUGUGCCCCUUGUGAAAAGAGUACAAUUUGUGCUUUGUAUUUUUUACUCAGGACUUUGAUUUCCCUCUAUGUGGCCAGGUGUCGACUUUGUACAGGUGAAAAGACUGCAGACAUGAGCACUGAAGAAGGGAGACCUUAGUGACGUUGUUCUGCAGUCUAAGAUAUGAGGUGUGACUGAUUCAGCUUUCAUUUCAUCAUCCUUCAUAUUGAAGUUCUUUUACACAAGAUUACUGAAUGCUGAAUAAACACUUUGGUAAUACAGCUGGUAUCAACAGCACGGAGAACUUUGUCAAGGGACUGUCAAGGUAUAAUAAAGCAGACAAUGAGUCAAUCCUGAUUACUCCAAAUGUAUACAGGUACAGAUGCAUGUGAUUUUGCAAUAGACUGUGGAAAAGGAGUAAUUAAGGCUUGUGUAAUUUACACUAUAGUUUUUGGCAAACUUUACACAAACUGGAGAAAGUAGCAUUUGUUGUGGACAAGCUGAGGAUUAAUUCACAUAUUGCUGUUUCUUUGAGUAUUUGGGGUAGCAGGAUGGUGUAUGAGGCACUGAGUCAAAAUGAACUACAGUCUGUGUGUUUAUGUCAAUGAGGGACCAUUUCCCCCAGGGCUACAGAGUGGAAACUCUUCUCACUGCAUAUAAGGAAGCAGCUCGACAGGCCAAAAUUAAAGCCACAGGCAGAAAUGUUUCAGGCUUCACGAAGCCAAAAAUAGUCAGAGUUAGUGAAAUUCUGAGUGAUACCAAUCACACUCUGAAGAGUUAUUAUGACUGGACAAAUCAAUAAGUUAAGGCCAAUUUCUUGCUAAGCCACGCCCUUUGUAUUAUUACUAUUACUAUUACUAUUUUUGUUGAUGGUGGCAAUAUUUUUUGGCCAAUCUUGCCUAAUUGUAAUGGAAAUGUGUAUCCCAAGUUCUAACUGUUUUUUCUCAUUUUGUGAAUUACCAAAAAAUUCAUCAGACUUUAGUCCGCAGACUUUAUGGUCCAAGAGGUUUGUUGUAGAGCACUUUUGGCCUCUACUCAAUUUGUGCUCAAGUCAAUUGGACUUACAGUGUGAGAGACUUUACAAAAUAGCAUUUUUGGAGCUUAAUUACAGCACCAUCAUUUGGCAGACAUAUAUUUAUGUGGAUGCAGUUGCGCAUCAUUUCCAGUUAGUGGCGCAAGUUGAGUGUUUCUAGCUCACUACAGCUCACAGAAAUAUGAGACACGGAAUAAGACAAAUAAUAUUAAACUCAUUAGAGUUCUGCGUUCUUGCUGUGGAAUGAUGACAAUGCUGUCACCAUGAAAUCUGUUGCAGAACAGCUGUUUUUCCACAGUUGUGUUAAAAGAAAUGCAUCUGGAAAAAAAAUAAAAUAAAACAAGAAGCCGGAACAUAAACGCCGAAGCGUUUAUUGCAGUAACUUGCAGUAAAAAGACUUGUCCAACUGCAGCACAGAUUAGUUGUUCAGCUGGUGAUGAUCACAUCUUCUUGGCGCACACGUAGUUCUUCUUCUCUGAGCAGUAUGUACCAUUCAAGUUUCCCUCAUC